ACAAAUGUUUUCUAAGUGUCUAAUGAUGAGUUUCAUAGGGCAGAUUCUGAGGUGACAGUUCAGUUCAUCACUGAUGUUCUGUGGAAUCUGAAGACACUUGAAAACCA
This is a small nucleolar RNA of Octodon degus (degu), 107 nucleotides long. Ensembl annotates it as small nucleolar RNA, C/D box 90. Its record names the gene SNORD90. The record is from Ensembl. NCBI's taxonomy places the organism in Eukaryota, Metazoa, Chordata, Mammalia, Rodentia, Octodontidae.